RNAcentral lists this ribosomal RNA (279 nucleotides) under uncultured bacterium. RNAcentral describes it as "partial 16S ribosomal RNA". It matches the Rfam family "Bacterial small subunit ribosomal RNA", at positions 506 to 784 of the family's 1533-position model. The record is from RNAcentral.
UGCCAGCCGCCGCGGUAACACGGGGGGCGCGAGCGUUAUUCGGAAUUAUUGGGCGUAAAGGGCGCGCAGGCGGUCUUGUCCGUCAGGUGUGAAAGCUCGGGGCUCAACCCCGGAAGUGCACUUGAAACAGCAAGACUUGAAUACGGGAGAGGAGAGAGGAAUUCCUGGUGUAGAGGUGAAAUUCGUAGAUAUCAGGAGGAACACCGAUGGCGAAGGCAUCUCACUGGCACAUUUCUGACGCUGAGGCGCGAAAGCGUGGGGAGCAAACAGGAUUAGAUA